AGCCUCUGGCAGCAGUCAGGGGAGAUGAGGCGUUAGUGAGACGUAAUCCACAAAGGGAAAAUGUGGGAGAAUUGGACUUGUAAGCAGAGAACAUUAUCCAGAGAUGGAAAAGUCUGAAGGAAUCACCUAAAGCAGUACUACAGGUUGGGGAAGAAGGCCACAUGGGACAGAACAGCUGAGAUGGAAACAACCCAUAAGCAUCACCUUAGAGUGAAAGCUUGCAGCACCAAAUAUGCUGUUUUGAAGGCGCCUGGGAAUGAAAAACCAUGACGGGAGAUUAUAAAGACCAGAGGAUUAGUGACAAUGCCUAGCAGAG
Molecule: long non-coding RNA, 316 nt
Filed under: Crocodylus porosus (Australian saltwater crocodile)
Lineage: Eukaryota; Metazoa; Chordata; Crocodylia; Crocodylidae
Description: lncRNA (ENSCPRG00005007072.1)
Source: RNAcentral